GUAUAAUUUUUUUACCUUUCAAUCAGAUACAUCCACCGAUAAUGUACCGGUCUGAUCAAAAGAGCUUCCUUUGGGAGAUGAAUAGCUCGGUGCACUAUUACAUCAAAAAAUGAUGGUGAAAUUUUUUUUUUUAACUUACAAAAAAUGAGCAUGAUAUCCUUCUUAAACUUCUCAAGUAAGUUAAUUUUUAAUUUUCAAUAACACAAU
Molecule: long non-coding RNA, 207 nt
Filed under: Elaeis guineensis (African oil palm)
Lineage: Eukaryota; Viridiplantae; Streptophyta; Magnoliopsida; Arecales; Arecaceae
Description: long non-coding RNA (EGUI_LNC056721)
Source: RNAcentral